This 443-nucleotide ribosomal RNA is filed under the name uncultured bacterium. Its description in RNAcentral is "partial 16S ribosomal RNA". It matches the Rfam family "Bacterial small subunit ribosomal RNA", at positions 338 to 795 of the family's 1533-position model. The record is from RNAcentral.
CCUACGGGUGGCAGCAGUGGGGAAUAUUGGGCAAUGGGCGCAAGCCUGACCCAGCAACGCCGCGUGAAGGAAGAAGGCUUUCGGGUUGUAAACUUCUUUUGUCAGGGACGAAGCAAGUGACGGUACCUGACGACUAAGCCACGGCUAACUACGUGCCAGCAGCCGCGGUAAUACGUAGGUGGCAAGCGUUAUCCGGAUUUAUUGGGUGUAAAGGGCGUGUAGGCGGGAAUGCAAGUCAGAUGUGAAAACUAUGGGCUCAACCCAUAGCCUGCAUUUGAAACUGUAUUUCUUGAGUGCUGGGGAGGCAAUCGGAAUUCCGUGUGUAGCGGUGAAAUGCGGAGAUAUACGGAGGAACACCAGUGGCGAAGGCGGAUUGCUGGACAGGAACUGACGCUGAGGCGCGAAAGCGUGGGGAGCAAACAGGAUUAGAUACCCUGGUAGUC